This 388-nucleotide ribosomal RNA is filed under the name uncultured bacterium. Its description in RNAcentral is "bacterial SSU rRNA". It matches the Rfam family "Bacterial small subunit ribosomal RNA", at positions 28 to 416 of the family's 1533-position model. The record is from RNAcentral.
GACGAACGCUGGCGGCGUGCUUAACACAUGCAAGUCGAGCGGUAAGGCCCUUUCGGGGGUACACGAGCGGCGAACGGGUGAGUAACACGUGGGUGACCUGCCCUCAGCUCUGGGGUAAGCCCGGGAAACUGGGUCUAAUACUGGAUAUGACUCCAUGACGCAUGUUGUGGGGUGGAAAGCCUUGUGCGGCUGAGGAUGGGCCCGCGGCCUAUCAGCUUGUUGGUGGGGUGAUGGCCUACCAAGGCGACGACGGGUAGCCGGCCUGAGAGGGCGACCGGCCACACUGGGACUGAGACACGGCCCAGACUCCUACGGGAGGGCAGCAGUGGGGAAUCUUGCGCAAUGGGCGAAAGCCUGACGCAGCGACGCCGCGUGAGGGAUGACGGCC